CCUACGGGUGGCAGCAGUGAGGAAUAUUGGUCAAUGGGCGCGAGCCUGAACCAGCCAAGUAGCGUGAAGGAUGACUGCCCUACGGGUUGUAAACUUCUUUUAUAAAGGAAUAAAGUGAGGCACGUGUGCCUUUUUGUAUGUACUUUAUGAAUAAGGAUCGGCUAACUACGUGCCAGCAGCCGCGGUAAUACGUAGGUGGCAAGCGUUAUCCGGAUUUACUGGGUGUAAAGGGCGUGUAGGCGGGAAAGCAAGUCAGAUGUGAAAACCAUGGGCUCAACCUGUGGCCUGCAUUUGAAACUGUUUUGCUUGAGUACUGGAGAGGCAGACGGAAUUCCUAGUGUAGCGGUGAAAUGCGUAGAUAUUAGGAGGAACUCCGAUUGCGAAGGCAGCCUACUAAACUGCCACUGACAUUGAUGCUCGAAAGUGUGGGUAUCAAACAGGAUUAGAUACCCUUGUAGUC
This 460-nucleotide ribosomal RNA is filed under the name uncultured bacterium. Its description in RNAcentral is "partial 16S ribosomal RNA". It matches the Rfam family "Bacterial small subunit ribosomal RNA", at positions 338 to 795 of the family's 1533-position model. The record is from RNAcentral.